RNAcentral lists this transfer RNA (67 nucleotides) under Molothrus aeneus (bronzed cowbird). Its description in RNAcentral is "tRNA-Ser". Lineage: Eukaryota; Metazoa; Chordata; Aves; Passeriformes; Icteridae. The record is from RNAcentral.
GAGGAGAGGUAUAAGCCGGCGAGAACUGCUAACUCUUGCAUCUGAGUAUAAAACCUCAGUCUCCUUA